This 497-nucleotide ribosomal RNA is filed under the name uncultured bacterium. RNAcentral describes it as "partial 16S ribosomal RNA". It matches the Rfam family "Bacterial small subunit ribosomal RNA", at positions 28 to 507 of the family's 1533-position model. The record is from RNAcentral.
GAUGAACGCUGGCGGCGUGCCUAAUACAUGCAAGUCGAGCGAACAGAUGAGGAGCUUGCUCCUCUGACGUUAGCGGCGGACGGGUGAGUAACACGUGGAUAACCUACCUAUAAGACUGGGAUAACUUCGGGAAACCGGAGCUAAUACCGGAUAAUAUAUUGAACCGCAUGGUUCAAUAGUGAAAGACGGUUUUGCUGUCACUUAUAGAUGGAUCCGCGCCGCAUUAGCUAGUUGGUAAGGUAACGGCUUACCAAGGCAACGAUGCGUAGCCGACCUGAGAGGGUGAUCGGCCACACUGGAACUGAGACACGGUCCAGACUCCUACGGGAGGCAGCAAUAGGGAAUCUUCCACAAUGGGCGAAAGCCUGACGGAGCAACGCCGCGUGAGUGAUGAAGGUCUUCGGAUCGUAAAACUCUGUUAUUAGGGAAGAACAAAUGUGUAAGUAACUAUGCACGUCUUGACGGUACCUAAUCAGAAAGCCACGGCUAACUACGUG